GUAUUGCUGAAGAAUGCCAAACUAGGACGAAACAGCUGUCCAGUAC
RNAcentral lists this non-coding RNA (46 nucleotides) under Trichobilharzia regenti. The record is from RNAcentral. Lineage: Eukaryota; Metazoa; Platyhelminthes; Trematoda; Strigeidida; Schistosomatidae.